RNAcentral lists this microRNA precursor (122 nucleotides) under Xyrichtys novacula (pearly razorfish). The record is from RNAcentral. Lineage: Eukaryota; Metazoa; Chordata; Actinopteri; Labriformes; Labridae.
AGGAGAGAGAGAGAGGGGAGCAGACUGAGCAUGCUCAGUCGGCUCCCCUCUCCCUCCUGAAGGAGAGAGAGAGAGGGGAGCAGAGUGAGCAUGCUCAGUCUGCUCCCCUCUCUCUCCCUCCU